UACGUAGGGGGCAAGCGUUAUCCGGAUUUACUGGGUGUAAAGGGGGCGCAGACGGCGAUGCAAGCCAGGAGUGAAAGCCCGGGGCCCAACCCCGGGACUGCUCUUGGAACUGCGUGGCUGGAGUGCAGGAGGGGCAGGCGGAAUUCCUGGUGUAGCGGUGAAAUGCGUAGAUAUCAGGAGGAACACCGAUGGCGAAGGCGGCCUGCUGGACUGCAACUGACGUUGAGGCCCGAAAGCGUGGGGAGCAAACAGG
This 253-nucleotide ribosomal RNA is filed under the name uncultured bacterium. RNAcentral's name for it is "partial 16S ribosomal RNA". It matches the Rfam family "Bacterial small subunit ribosomal RNA", at positions 524 to 776 of the family's 1533-position model. The record is from RNAcentral.